Molecule: ribosomal RNA, 3123 nt
Filed under: Crenarchaeota archaeon SCGC AAA471-C03
Lineage: Archaea; Thermoproteati; Thermoproteota
Description: bacterial LSU rRNA
Rfam family: Archaeal large subunit ribosomal RNA
Source: RNAcentral
UUAUCUAAGAGGAAGCCCCUUGGUGGAUGGCUCGGCUGGGCAACCGAGGAAGGACGCGGCAAGCGGCGAUAUGCCAGGGGUAGACGCAAGCAGUCGUUGAUCCCUGGAUCUCCGAAUGGGUAUCCUGGUGCCACUCACGAAUAGUGGGUGGCAUCGCUCCUGGGGUAAACCCUAGGAGCGGGAACCCCCCGAACGGAAACAUCUUAGUAGGGGGUGGAAGAGAAACCAACAGGGAUCCCCUGAGUAGCGGCGAGCGAAAGGGGGAGAGCUCAAAUCGAAUCCUCCCUAGAUAAUAGGGAGGAGAUGUAAGGUUAUUGGGUUUCAUUCGACACCCUAACUCGGUUAGCCGAAGUGGGCUGGAAUGCCCCGCCAUAGAGGGUGAUAGCCCCGUAGGCGAAAACCGAGCGGGUGGAUGAGAAUGAAUACCAGAGUACCACACCUUGGUUAUGGUGUGGGAAGUUGGGAGUAUCAACUUCCAAAGCUAAACAUUCGCCCAGACCGAUAGCGAACCAGUACCGUGAGGGAAAGCUGAAAAGCACCCCGGGAGGGGUGUGAAAAGAGCCUGAAACCAAGGGGCUACAGGCGGCAUGGCCCGAAAGGAAUGAUCUUUCUUAAGGAAUUCCUACGAGAGUAGGGUUCCUUAAGAAAGGGAUCAGGGUCAUGCCUUACGUCUAGAAACACGGGCCAGGGAGUUUAAGGCUGUGGCGAGCCUAAGGGGGUUAACCCCGCAGGCGUAGAAAACUCGAGUACCCGUAGCUUACACCUCUGCAUUAUACAAGUAGCUUGGGUUUGAUUUAUGAUAACUCGGGCUACUUGUAUAAUGUAAGUGUAAGCGAGGGGUAGGGUCCGAAAGGGCCUUAAGUCACAGCCUUAAGACCAGAAACCAGGCGAUCUAGGCCUGGGUAGGGUGAAGCCGGGCGAAAGCCCGGUGGAGGCCCGAAUAGGGGUGCUGACGUGCAAAUCGCUCCCCUAACCCGGGCCUAGGGGCAAUAGACCAAUCAAGCCUGGUGAUAGCUGGUUCCCCCCGAAGCUGGUCCCAGCCAGGCCUCGCCAGAGGUUCGUUAGGGUGUAGAGCACUGAUUGCUGGGUAAGGGCCGAAAGGCCCGCCCGGCAGUCAAACUCCGAAGCCCUAACGACCUCAGAAGGCGGGAGACGGGUUUCGCGGGAUAAGCCCGCGAGCCGAAAGGGGGACAACCCAACCUAGGGUUAAGGUCCCUAAGUGCUGGCUAAGUAUCAAGCCCAAAGGGCGUCACCGCUCUGAGACAGCCGGGAGGUAGGCUUAGAAGCAGUUAACCUCUAAGGAGUGCGUAACAGCUCACCGGCCGAGAGCGGUGGCCCCGAAAAUUGACGGGAUUUAAGCCAGCCACCGAGACCCUAGGGGAUACUCCGAUGCGGAGUAUCAUCCGGUAGGGGGGCGCUGUAGCAGGGUAGAAGCCGGGGCGUGAGCUCCGGUGGACCUGCUACAGAUGCGAAUCCUGGCAGUAGUAACAGCGAAGCUGGGUGGAAAUCCCAGCCGCCGGAAGGGCCAGGGUUCCUCGGCAAUGCGUCGUCAGCCGAGGGUUAGCCGCUCCUAAGAGCGGCCUUCACUGGUCCGCUCGAAAGGGAAAAUGGUUAAUAUUCCAUUGCUAAGGGCCUACGUUAGUGGUAACACAAGCCACGCUCCAGACGGAUAGGGGUAGGGUGUGUAGGGUCUUCGCCCUACUUAACUCCUGAAGUACGGGGAGUGUCGUAAUGACGAGAACCGUACGAAAGGAGGAAUAGCCCCCUGUAUAGGGGGUACACCCGAUCCCCUGUCCCCGUGAAAAUGGAGCGUGGAAGGAUGGCCCUUAAGCGUACCUAGAUCCGACACAGGUGCCCCUGGCUGAGAAGGCCAAGGCGUCUCCGGGUACUCCGGGCCAAGGAACUCGGCAAAUUGGCCCCGUACCUUCGGUAGAAGGGGUGCCUGGGCUCUUCAGGGUUAACCUGGGGGGCCUAGGUCGCAGUGACAAGGAGGUCCCGACUGUUUAAUAAAAACAUAGGUCCCCGCGAGCCCGAAAGGGUUUGUACGGGGGCUGAAUCCUGGCCACUGGCGGUACGCGAACCCCGGGUUCAACCGGGCUAAGCGCCGCCGAAGGCCGGGAGUAACUCUGACUCUCUUAAGGUAGCCAAAUGCCUUGUCGGGUAAGUUCCGACGUGCAUGAAUGGAUCAACGAGGGCCUCACUGUCUCGGCCCGGAGCCGGGUGAACCUGCAACCUAGUGCACAGUCUAGGGACUCCCGACGGGGCGAGAAGACCCCGUGGAGCUUUACUGCAGCCUCAAGCUGUGGUGCUGUCCUCGUUGCGUAGAGUAGACGGGAGACAAUGAAAUACUCUCUCCGGGGAGUAUAGAGUCGAAAGUGAAACACCGUCCAACGAGGAUGGUGCCACUAACCCGGCUUUGCCGGGGACACCUUGAGGUGGGCAGUUCGGCUGGGGCGGCACGCCCCCGACAAAGAAUCGGGGGCGUCCAAAGGGUGGCUCAGGCAGGUCAGAAACCUGCCGUGGAGGACAAGGCCAAAUGCCACCCUGACUGGUUCCUCAACUGCACGGGAACCAGGGGUGAAAGCCGGGCCUAGCGAACGCUCAUGUCCCCCUUGAUGGGGGCUGGGCAUGACGGAAAAGCUACCCCGGGAAUAACCGGCUCGUCGCGGGCGAGAGUCCACAUCGACCCCGCGGAUUGGUACCCAGACGUCGUCUCUUCCCAUCCUGGGGGUGCAAUAGCCCCCAAGGGUAGGGCUGCCCGCCCGUUAAAGGGAACCGUGAGAUGGGUUUAGACCGUCGUGAGACAGGUCGGUCUCUACCUGUCGGGAGCGCUGGCCACCUGAGGCGAAGGUGUUGCCAGUACGAGAGGAACGCAACGCCGCCGCCUCUGGUGUAGUGGCUGUCCGAAAGGGCAAGCCACGCAGCCACGCGGUAGGGGAUAAGGGCUGAAAGCAUCUAAGCCCGAAUCCCCCGCCAAGACUAGGUGGCCAUUCCACCGGUCCAAAAGGCCGGUGGACGAGGGCUCCCGCAAAAGACGGGGUUGAUAGGGUGGGGGUGUAAGCGCCAAAGCCGAAAGGCUGAGGCGUUCAGCCCGCCACUACUAACAGCCCGAGUUAGAUAAAU